RNAcentral lists this small RNA (178 nucleotides) under Sinomonas sp. Its description in RNAcentral is "c-di-AMP sequence". It matches the Rfam family "c-di-AMP riboswitch aptamer (ydaO/yuaA leader)". From Rfam's summary of the family: This family represents a conserved RNA structure found upstream of the ydaO and yuaA genes in Bacillus subtilis and related genes in other bacteria. The ydaO/yuaA element is thought to act as a genetic "off" switch for the ydaO and yuaA genes in its native state. Lineage: Bacteria; Bacillati; Actinomycetota; Actinomycetes; Micrococcales; Micrococcaceae. The record is from RNAcentral.
UGCCUAGCUCUGCCACUCUCCGAAGCCGUUCGCACACACCGCUUGGCAGAGGCGGGGGAACCACUUCUGGUCCUCUUCAGGGAGGGCCUUGGGGUUAAGCAGCCCGGCGCGAGCCGGGAGGCCGGAUACUUCCAAUCCGAACCCGACAGCUCACCUCGUAGGCACUGGGAGAGGCUAC